CUCCCCCGUUUCUGGUGUGAGUGAACGCGUGUGGCGGCUACGCGUGUGUAUCUUACAGAUACCAUUUGCGUAGAAAUAUCGCAUCCAACCAGUCCCAGUCCCAGUCCCAGUUCGAGAUCAGUUCAUGCGUACUGCUUGUUUUGCGCCAGCCCGUUUUGAUACCCUGGAACAAAGAUGCUACGACUGGCACGAUCAGAGGUGAAGCGAGGCACGUAUACCACCAGCCAUUUGGUUCGAGCAACCUCUAGAGAAAUCCACCUAGAUAAUACUAGUUUGCACAGCCAAUCCAUCUUGGAGGUUUAAGAACCAGUUUGAUCUUCAGGAGGGCCUUUACUUUGUUGUCCUUUAGAAGAUAAUAGCUCCUUUAGUUGUAGGUCCAAUGGUCCAUUGAGAACACCCAAUAUAGGUGGUCCAUUGAAAAUACCAAAUCUCUUUGUUCAUUUUUUAGGGGAUUUGGGAUAUUGGAUGGGAUGGGUGGGGUGGUUUUGGAGGGCUAUAGUGGGUGUUCUGGAGGGGAUCUAUUCUUCGAUUGUUUCAUCGUUAGGCAAUUAUUUAGGAUUUCUUUAGUUUUAACUUGACUUUAUGCUUUCAGAGCUCUUAGUAUAAAUGUUUCUCAUAUUUCGUACAUAUAUAUUUUGUAAUUACAUUUACAUUGGUAUCUAUUAUGUGUAUCUUUUUAAUAAAACCUUUAAACUUUAUCGUUAUCUUGAUGACAGGUUCCAAAGGAAUCUAUAAAAUUCUUCAAUGUUGCGUAUAUGUUUUUUUAUUUUUAUAACUCACAAUGCCGAUUAGCACUUAUCAGAUAUUUAUUUAAGAGUUUCUGCAACAUUAAUUUAUACAGAUGUUUACUAACA
Drosophila ananassae is the source of this 854-nucleotide long non-coding RNA. RefSeq lists it as uncharacterized. NCBI's taxonomy places the organism in Eukaryota, Metazoa, Arthropoda, Insecta, Diptera, Drosophilidae. The record is from RefSeq and is a predicted model, not a curated record. The transcript is spliced from 3 exons.